UGUGUAGGCGGUUCUUUAAGUUUGGUGUGAAAUCUCCCGGCUCAACUGGGAGGGUGCGCCGAAUACUGAGGGACUAGAGUACGGGAGAGGAAAGUGGAAUUCCUGGUGUAGCGGUGAAAUGCGUAGAUAUCAGGAGGAACACCGGUGGUGUAGACGGCUUUCUGGACCGACACUGACGCUGAAACACGAAAGCGUGGGUAGCAAACAGGAUUAGAUACCCUGGUAGUCCACGCCCUAAACGAUGCAUAUUUGGUGUGGGCAGUUCAUUCUGUCCGUGCCGGAGCUAACGCGUUAAAUAUGCCGCCUGGGGAGUACAGUCGCAAGGCUGAA
This 330-nucleotide ribosomal RNA is filed under the name uncultured bacterium. Its description in RNAcentral is "bacterial SSU rRNA". It matches the Rfam family "Bacterial small subunit ribosomal RNA", at positions 568 to 898 of the family's 1533-position model. The record is from RNAcentral.